This 733-nucleotide ribosomal RNA is filed under the name Nocardia sp. RNAcentral's name for it is "bacterial SSU rRNA". It matches the Rfam family "Bacterial small subunit ribosomal RNA", at positions 86 to 833 of the family's 1533-position model. The record is from RNAcentral. Lineage: Bacteria; Bacillati; Actinomycetota; Actinomycetes; Mycobacteriales; Nocardiaceae.
GGUACACGAGCGGCGAACGGGUGAGUAACACGUGGGUGAUCUGCCUUGCACUCUGGGAUAAGCCUGGGAAACUGGGUCUAAUACCGGAUAUGAGCCUGGACUGCAUGGUCUGGGUUGGAAAGGUUUACUGGUGCGAGAUGGGCCCGCGGCCUAUCAGCUUGUUGGUGGGGUAACGGCCUACCAAGGCGACGACGGGUAGCCGACCUGAGAGGGUGACCGGCCACACUGGGACUGAGACACGGCCCAGACUCCUACGGGAGGCAGCAGUGGGGAAUAUUGCACAAUGGGCGAAAGCCUGAUGCAGCGACGCCGCGUGAGGGAUGACGGCCUUCGGGUUGUAAACCUCUUUUGACAGGGACGAAGCGCAAGUGACGGUACCUGUAGAAGAAGCACCGGCCAACUACGUGCCAGCAGCCGCGGUAAUACGUAGGGUGCGAGCGUUGUCCGGAAUUACUGGGCGUAAAGAGCUUGUAGGCGGUCUGUCACGUCGAUUGUGAAAACUUGCAGCUCAACUGCAAGCUUGCAGUCGAUACGGGCAGACUAGAGUACUUCAGGGGAGACUGGAAUUCCUGGUGUAGCGGUGAAAUGCGCAGAUAUCAGGAGGAACACCGGUGGCGAAGGCGGGUCUCUGGGAAGUAACUGACGCUGAGAAGCGAAAGCGUGGGUAGCGAACAGGAUUAGAUACCCUGGUAGUCCACGCCGUAAACGGUGGGUACUAGGUGUGGGUUUCCUU